CCUACGGGAGGCAGCAGUGGGGAAUAUUGCACAAUGGGGGAAACCCUGAUGCAGCGACGCCGCGUGAGUGAAGAAGUAUUUCGGUAUGUAAAGCUCUAGCAGCAGGGAAGAAAGAAAGUCCGGCGGACUGUGGACGGGACCAGACGAAGAAGACCCGGCGAACGACGUGCCAGCAGCCGAGGUAAUACGAAGGGGGCAAGCGUUAUCCGGAUUUACUGGGGGGAAAGGGCGCGUAGACGGCAGCGCAAGUCGGGAUUGAAAUCCCAUGGCUUAACCAUGGAACUGCUUUGGAAACUGUGCAGCUGGAGUGCAGGAGAGGUCAGCGGAUUUCCUAGUGUAGCGGUGCAAUGCGUAGAUAUUAGGAGGACCACCAGUGGCGAAGGCGGCUUACUGGACUGUAACUGCCGUUGAGGCUCGAAAGCGUGGGGAGCAAACAGGAUUAGAUACCCGAGUAGUC
Molecule: ribosomal RNA, 457 nt
Filed under: uncultured bacterium
Lineage: Bacteria
Description: partial 16S ribosomal RNA
Rfam family: Bacterial small subunit ribosomal RNA
Source: RNAcentral